This is a long non-coding RNA of Macrobrachium nipponense, 844 nucleotides long. RefSeq lists it as uncharacterized. The record is from RefSeq and is a predicted model, not a curated record. NCBI's taxonomy places the organism in Eukaryota, Metazoa, Arthropoda, Malacostraca, Decapoda, Palaemonidae. The transcript has 3 exons.
GGAACAAACAACGAAAGUUAUCAGUUUGUAUCACAUGUUGGUGGUCCACUGACGUCAUAGUGUGCUCCAGCAAGAAGACUACUUAAAAAAUCUGCAUGGAGAGGUUGUCGAAUCGGGUCAGGUAGGGGCUCCCGUCCAUUGAUGGUCUGAGGUCUAUUUCAAACAGUCACUACCUCCUCUCGUGGCUUCGUAACGCCAUUGGUGGAAAGUAUCAAUAUCAAAGGCCUCAAGUCAUAUGAGGUCAUCGUCUUGGCCUCAUACUACAGUCUGGUUUGUCUGUCCUUUCAACGCAUGCCAGGAAUACCCAUAAACAAUGCUGAGGGCGGGGUCCUAUGAAAAAGGUUUAUGGGGAGAAUGAUGCUGAUGUAGACUGGCCCUACGAAAUUGAUCCUGGACUGCAGGCAAGUCUUCAGCAAGGUGUUAACUAAAGAUUGCGUCCGCGAGGUAUUAACUAAAGAUUGACGAUAAGUCGUGGAGGAAGAGUGUGUUCCUUAUACCCGUCAUGACCUCUGAAAGCCAGAGGGUCCAAGCAGCUUCUGGUUAACCACCACUAUUACUACAGAAGGAUCACGGACUGGAAGACUUCAGCUCAGGAAGACAGCCGUCGCUUUCUCCGGCUGAUGAACUAGUGGCUGUAUGAUUUUCCUGGAUAGGGGGAGUAUUACCAAGAGAUAUGUUUUUGCACAGUACCCAUAAAGGAGAGAUAUUACUCCAGUUUUGAGAAUGAACUUCUCAGAUUAUUUCUUCCAGUGUCACUGUUUAGACUGCUAAUGCAGAGAUCGUAAGCACCGAGUCUUCUUUUUUGUUUGUUUUUACAUGAACAUGAGACGCCUCAUUCCAUACA